RNAcentral lists this ribosomal RNA (253 nucleotides) under uncultured bacterium. RNAcentral describes it as "partial 16S ribosomal RNA". It matches the Rfam family "Bacterial small subunit ribosomal RNA", at positions 524 to 776 of the family's 1533-position model. The record is from RNAcentral.
UACGUAGGGUGCGAGCGUUAAUCGGAAUUACUGGGCGUAAAGCGUGCGCAGGCGGUGAUGUAAGACCGAUGUGAAAUCCCCGGGCUUAACCUGGGAACUGCAUUGGUGACUGCAUCGCUCGAGUAUGGCAGAGGGGGGUAGAAUUCCACGUGUAGCAGUGAAAUGCGUAGAGAUGUGGAGGAACACCGAUGGCGAAGGCAGCCUCCUGGGCCAGCACUGACGCUCAUGCACGAAAGCGUGGGGAGCAAACAGG